CCUAGCGGUAUCGGUAUCAGCGGUGAGUUGCGCCAUUGUCCGGCGGGAGGGACAGGACGAGCUCCCAGUUUUCUACGCCGGCAGAGGCAUGAACGGGGCAGAAACAAGGUAUCCACCCUUAGAACAGCUAGCUCUUGCACUCAUCGUUGCCGCCAGACGCCUCCGCCAGUAUUUUCAAGCGCACACAAUCCACGUGCUGACCAAUCAACCACUAAGACAGGUGAUGCAGAACCCUGAACAUUCAGGGCGCCUCAGCAAGUGGGCCAUCGAGCUCAGUGAAUUUGACAUAGAUUACAAGCCAAGAACCGCCAUGAAGGGCCAGGCAGUAGCGGACUUCAUCGCCGAGCUCACUGAGCGUCAGCCCAAUCCCAGCACGGAGAAUGAGCCCGGGACGGAAAUGGUCACCGCU
This 409-nucleotide long non-coding RNA is filed under the name Rosa chinensis. RNAcentral describes it as "sRNA RchiOBHm_Chr4g0445741". Lineage: Eukaryota; Viridiplantae; Streptophyta; Magnoliopsida; Rosales; Rosaceae. The record is from RNAcentral.